Chroococcidiopsis thermalis PCC 7203 is the source of this 388-nucleotide non-coding RNA. It matches the Rfam family "transfer-messenger RNA". From Rfam's summary of the family: Bacterial tmRNA, also known as 10Sa RNA or SsrA, is named for its dual tRNA and mRNA-like properties. Its role is to liberate the mRNA from a stalled ribosome. To accomplish this part of the tmRNA is used as a reading frame that ends in a translation stop signal. The record is from Rfam. NCBI's taxonomy places the organism in Bacteria, Bacillati, Cyanobacteriota, Cyanophyceae, Chroococcidiopsidales, Chroococcidiopsidaceae.
GGGGCUUUCAAGGUUUCGACAGGUUGGCGAAAGCUGCUCUGUGAUACAGGUCGAGAGUGAGUCUCCUCUCGUAAAUCAAAGGCUCAAAAAAACGUAACUGCGAACAACAUCGUUCCUUUUGCUCGUAAGGCUGCUCCUGUAGCUGCCUAAUAAUCUCUCAAAGAUUCGAGCGCUUGUAGUUUGACUCCGUUAAGGACUACAGGCAAACCCCAACGGAUGCUCUAGCAAGGUUUCUUCGAUUUACUUGCUAGUUAAGACUUAAUCGAAGCAUCCUACGUGCGGGAUAAUGCACGAUCCCCGCCUUGAGGGUCAAAAAGGCUAAGCCUGUGAACGAGUGGGGGGUUAAUACCCAAUUUGGACACGGGUUCGAUUCCCGUAAGCUCCACUU